UACGUAGGGGGCAAGCGUUGUCCGGAAUCAUUGGGCGUAAAGAGCGUGUAGGCGGUCCGGUAAGUCGGCUGUGAAAGCCCCGGGCUCAACCUGGGAAUGGCAAUGGAAACUGGCGGGCUAGAGUGUGGCAGAGGGGGGUGGAAUUCCGCGUGUAGCAGUGAAAUGCGUAGAGAUGCGGAGGAACACCGAUGGCGAAGGCAGCCCCCUGGGCUAGCACUGACGCUCAGGCACGAAAGCGUGGGGAGCAAACAGG
This 253-nucleotide ribosomal RNA is filed under the name uncultured bacterium. Its description in RNAcentral is "partial 16S ribosomal RNA". It matches the Rfam family "Bacterial small subunit ribosomal RNA", at positions 524 to 776 of the family's 1533-position model. The record is from RNAcentral.